Molecule: ribosomal RNA, 468 nt
Filed under: uncultured bacterium
Lineage: Bacteria
Description: partial 16S ribosomal RNA
Rfam family: Bacterial small subunit ribosomal RNA
Source: RNAcentral
GACGAACGCUGGCGGCGUGCUUAACACAUGCAAGUCGAACGGAAAGGCCCUGCUUUUGUGGGGUGCUCGAGUGGCGAACGGGUGAGUAACACGUGAGUAACCUGCCCUUGACUUUGGGAUAACUUCAGGAAACUGGGGCUAAUACCGGAUAGGAGCUCCUGCUGCAUGGUGGGGGUUGGAAAGUUUCGGCGGGUGGGGAUGGACUCGCGGCUUAUCAGCUUGUUGGUGGGGUAGUGGCUUACCAAGGCUUUGACGGGUAGCCGGCCUGAGAGGGUGACCGGCCACAUUGGGACUGAGAUACGGCCCAGACUCCUACGGGAGGCAGCAGUGGGGAAUAUUGCACAAUGGGCGGAAGCCUGAUGCAGCAACGCCGCGUGCGGGAUGACGGCCUUCGGGUUGUAAACCGCUUUCGCCUGUGACGAAGCGUGGGUGACGGUAAUGGAUAAAGAAGCACCGGCUAACUACGUG